Molecule: ribosomal RNA, 405 nt
Filed under: Triticum aestivum (bread wheat)
Lineage: Eukaryota; Viridiplantae; Streptophyta; Magnoliopsida; Poales; Poaceae
Description: partial small subunit ribosomal RNA
Source: RNAcentral
AUGACGAUCAUGAGCUGGAACUGUCGAGGCCUCGGGCAACCUCGAACAGUUCUAGAACUGGUGUGUCUUGUACACACACACAAGCCCAAGCUCGUCUUCCUCACCGAAACGCGGCAAAAUAACAAUUAUGUCUCAAAGCUCAAAUGGAGGCUGGGCCUCCGCCAUUGUAUCACGCAUCCCGGUACCGGUAAGAGUGCUGGCAUUGCUCUUUUCUAUGAUGAAAGUGUGGAAAUAAAGAAGAUUGCCAUGGGGACGAGGUAUAUUGAUGUGUUGAUCCGCUUAAACCCUCAUGGCCCUCAAUGGAGGGGCACGUUCAUUUAUGGGGAGCCGAAAGCGCAUGAGCGGCAUCACAUGUGGUCACUGCUGAGUAGAAUCAAACAUAAAGCAAUCUACCAUGGCUCAUGA